UACAUUUAGAUAAAGCUUUUACAGUUUUUUUUUUCCUCAUCUUUAUCCAGAAAGAAACUGGUACUUCUGUGUUGCUCAUGUGACAAGUUGCAUUGUUUAUUUCUUCAGCAGGAAACUUAUGUGUGGAAACGAAGGAUGUGAAGCUCCUAGCAGUGCUAAAAUCCCCCAGAACUUUCAGCUGUAGUGUGUGGAUUGUGACACAGCCACAUUUUGACAUUUGUUUCCAGGGCUGGAUAUGCUAAAACACAGUCCAGAAAUGAGGGAUCAAUCCAGGACAGCAGGAAGACGUGACCAGGGGGACAGGGCUCAGACCAGCAACUGCCAAGCAGGAGGAGAUUGUCCCUGGGGUGCGCAAAGAAGGAACCUCCAAGUUUUGGUGGAAACCCAGUGCAUACAGUUCAAGACGGGACAGCGGAAGAGGCUGCCUCACCUGCAAGGGAGAGACCCCCUUCAGCGGGUGGAACGAGCUGGGUGCCAGCAGGCCAUUUACAAACGGAGGAGGUAGUCUGCACUUUAACGUACAGGCGUCUCUACGUUUAGAUUAAAACGUAAGCUUGCUUA
Long non-coding RNA from Aquila chrysaetos chrysaetos, 561 nucleotides. RefSeq lists it as uncharacterized. The record is from RefSeq and is a predicted model, not a curated record. NCBI's taxonomy places the organism in Eukaryota, Metazoa, Chordata, Aves, Accipitriformes, Accipitridae. The transcript is spliced from 2 exons.